AAUGAACGCUGGCGGCAUGCCUAACACAUGCAAGUCGAACGAGACCUUCGGGUCUAGUGGCGCACGGGUGCGUAACGCGUGGGAAUCUGCCCUUGGGUUCGGAAUAACAGUUAGAAAUGACUGCUAAUACCGAAUGAUGUCGUAAGACCAAAGAUUUAUCGCCCAGGGAUGAGCCCGCGUAAGAUUAGGUAGUUGGUGUGGUAAAGGCGCACCAAGCCGACGAUUCUAGCUGGUCUGAGAGGAUGAUCAGCCACACUGGGACUGAGACACGGCCCAGACUCCUACGGGAGGCAGCAGUGGGGAAUAUUGGACAAUGGGCGAAAGCCUGAUCCAGCAAUGCCGCGUGAGUGAUGAA
Molecule: ribosomal RNA, 355 nt
Filed under: uncultured bacterium
Lineage: Bacteria
Description: bacterial SSU rRNA
Rfam family: Bacterial small subunit ribosomal RNA
Source: RNAcentral